RNAcentral lists this ribosomal RNA (250 nucleotides) under uncultured bacterium. RNAcentral's name for it is "partial 16S ribosomal RNA". It matches the Rfam family "Bacterial small subunit ribosomal RNA", at positions 524 to 773 of the family's 1533-position model. The record is from RNAcentral.
UACGUAGGGGGCGAGCGUUGUCCGGAAUCAUUGGGCGUAAAGAGCGUGUAGGCGGGCCGGAAGGUCUGGUGUGAAAGCCCGGGGCUCAACCCCGGAGGGUCACUGGAAACCAACGGUCUUGAGUCCGGAAGAGGAGAGUGGAAUUCCUGGUGUAGCGGUGGAAUGCGCAGAUAUCAGGAGGAACACCAAUGGCGAAGGCAGCUCUCUGGUACGUGACUGACGCUGAGACGCGAAAGCGUGGGUAGCAAAC